Molecule: ribosomal RNA, 254 nt
Filed under: uncultured bacterium
Lineage: Bacteria
Description: partial 16S ribosomal RNA
Rfam family: Bacterial small subunit ribosomal RNA
Source: RNAcentral
UACGUAGGUGGCAAGCGUUGUCCGGAUUUAUUGGGUUUAAAGGGUGCGUAGGCGGUUCUAUAAGUCAGGUGGUGAAAUCCGGCAGCUCAACUGUCGAUGUGCCAUUGAUACUGCAGAACUUGAGUACAGACGAGGUAGGCGGAAUUGACGGUGUAGCGGUGAAAUGCUUAGAUAUCGUCAAGAACACCGAUAGCGAAGGCAGCUUACUAGACUGUAACUGACGCUGAUGCACGAAAGUGUGGGGAUCAAACAGG